AAAGAACGAAAGGUUGAAGUCCACCCCGCGCGUUUUUAAUUUCGGGGGAAAAUUUCAGCAGCCGCCGCAGCAACCACAACCAAAGGAAUCUUUCCGCCCACUCCAUUUCACUGACCAUUACAGAAAUUACUAAGAGAAAUGGAGUAAACACAAUGGAGGAAACACAUGGAGGAAAUACAAUUAAAAUAAAACAUAAAAUACAUAAUCAACUUCCAAUUUCACAGGCACCUGGCACCAGAUAACAUUAUUGCUUAUACUGAUCACAGCGGUUUAUGGACAACAAUUUGAAGUUCAUAAUUUUUUCUAAUAAGCUAGUCCAGAUACCAUCUUCCUACGAACCGAUAACCAUAAACCCCAGGUCAAAUUUUAUACAAUAAAAUGAAAAGAGAACUAUCAGGGAUAACCCUGCAACGAAUAUGUUUCAAAAAGUUGCAUUCGGUAUUCCAGUUGAAACCUAUCGAACGAAAUUGAUUUUUUCCUCAAACGCAGUUCUUAUACGUCCAAUGUCGCUCAUAACCCUGUCGCGUUUUUGCAAAGUCAAAUUAAUUUAGUAUUUGGCUUUGCCAGUAUUUCCUUCUCCUUUUCCAUUUUAAUUUAAUUUGAAUAAAUAAAAAUAUUCCAAAUAAUAAUAAAUGUCCGACACCAGGGUUGAAUAAAUCCUUAAUCCUUAAUUCCUUAAUUAAUCGAACCCAAAUGCGGUCCAACGCUUAGCCAAACUCCACGGUGUUAGCGCAUUCCGCUGCAGUCACGCGCACACCGUAUGCUACUUCGUCAGCAGCCUUGGUCUGCCCUGUGGUACCGGGCGGAUCAGGAAUCACGGUGAUGUGAUAUUGCCAGGUUUCGGUAGUCCAUGGGUUGAGGUCAAUUUCCUCCACAGGAAAUACAAGAGAGAAAGGAUAAGCAGAGCCAAAGAUGCCUCCGUUAGGAAUGAAGCCAACAACUGUCCGGUUACCUCUGACAUCUUUUCCAAGUUUUUUAAACUCACGUCAUGUACGUACUCCAGAGAUAGCCGGCAGUCGUUGGCAAUUAGCUCGUGUCAUUUCGGCCACCAACUGUUACGGCCUCGUCGCCAUAUUGGACAACAAAAGUCCCUACUAGAUGAUGUUUCUCAGAGGCAGCUUCCAGAGUUCUAUUAAAGUUGGUCAGGAACAGCGUUCAUUCGUCGACUGCUUCAAUUAAUUGUCGGUUAUUUCGCUGGUAGGAACAAGCAGCGUGACCUCGCUUUAAAAGGCGUGGAAUUGAUCCGACUUCCUCCAGCUGUUGCAGCUUCUUGACUCGUGUCAAGGAGUUGUUGGUCGCUAUUCUUCGAGGCCACCUCCUGAGUUGUCAGAAUUGCUAUCCAGUCAGUUGCGUCGGAAGUCGGAUUUCCAUGCAGAUCCCAACCAGUUUAUCGAGCGAUGUUUCCUCACGGGUGCACUGGCUAUCCUGUUAAUACCCUCCGUUGCGUCUUUAAGAUAGUACUCGAAGAAGAUGUGUUAUGUGUUUAUGUUCUUCUGAUAGUUUGUUAUUUGUAGUAGUAGAAGUAAUUGUAUAUAAGUAUAGUAGUAUAAGCCCCAUUGCAAUAUUAGAAUGUAAGAACUAAUUAUAAGAGUCGUGAAUGUAAAUAGUAUAUACACACGUGCUGAAUAAAUGAAGAGUCGUCAGUCGUCGUUGAAGUGUCACGGAGCGCACACUAAAGCUCAGAAGUGGUCGGACUUACCCAAGUUAUUUGUUUCAAAAGAAAAAAAAGAUCGGCAUUAAUGAAUUGUAAUCCUGGCAAUUAUACAUUAAAAUAAGUAAAAGCUUUGUGCGUGCAAAACAAACUUAAAAGUAGUGGCAGAAAAAUCGAAUUGAUUAAAAGUCUUGAAAAUAUUUAAUUUGAGUGGCGGGCAUAUGAAAAAAAUAAAACAGUAAUGAAAAAAAUCAACGCCACAGAACAAACCAUUAAAAUGGACAGGGAUGAAAACAACGACAAGGGCGAAGAACAAAAUAGCGAAAUCGAGACAGCAAGAGGCAGUGACAACGACGGCGACGUUUGCACAUACAUACAAAGGAAUGCAAGAAACAGAAGGUUCGCGAAAGUAACGGGAUCUUGUGAAAUGAAUGUCAACAACCAAAACGACAUCGAGCAAUGUUCUGAGAGGCAGAUGGUGAGCGCCAGAAACAAUGAGUCCAACAAAUGUUUGGAUGGCUAGCAACAAUGAUCCUGGGAUGCAAAUGGCUGGCAACAAUGAGCCGGAACAAUGUUUUGGAAACCAAAUGAUGCGCAACAAUGUAACUAUGCAAGGCGGCGAUGUUCAAAGACUGGAAAAUUAGUUGAAAAUAUUGAAGCUGCAAAAUGAGAUCGACCAGUUAAAAAAUCAACAACAACAAAGUGACUUAAGCAUUUCUUUCGAAAUUUUAAAGGAGAUCGUUAAGGUAUAUGAUGGCGGAAACAAUUUCAAUGUUUGGCUAUUUCAACUUUUGAAUGUCCAGAAAAAUUUCAAGGUCGGUGCCAAUACGACGCGUGAGUUACCGACCCAUCGGUACAAUUCACCACCCCUCCCUCUAAACCACCACGCCUACACAAGUGAAGACAUCGAACCGGGAAGCGUUGCGAUACAAAGUCGCAACAUAAACAUCAACGACGAGUCAGCCGCCGACAUCCGCCAAAAAGCUGACACCGCAUUCCCUUCGCACAGACAACGCAGCGCAUACAAUCCCAUAUACAUACAUACUUGUUAACAUACUUUCCGCUGCGUCAGAUACUUUAUUUCUAAGAACUCCAACAUUGUAAUACACAUACAUAUUCACUGUUAGUUUAUUUAAGACCAAAAAAGACGACUGGCAGUAGAGAUCUAGCAGCAAACACUUGUAGACGUAUCCAAUAUUCAAUCCGAUCGAAUUCCCUGACAGCCGUAGCUACUUUCAAGAUCGGCUCCUCUCUUCUCUGCAUCUGAAUAUCCCACGAAGCUCUCCGGAGGUCACUGUGGCUACCUUCUGGAUCAGCUCCUCUCUUUUCUGCAUUUGAAUACCCCGCGAAGCUCCCCCGGAGGUAACUCGUGCGCUGAUUCACUACAAAGUUAAGGGCGAUGCUGAAAUAUGACUGUAUUCAAGCACAAGCGCUACCAUGGAGACAGCGGAUAAAAUGUUAAGCCACCUGGAGAAAAUGUUCGUAAUGUCCAAAGAGUCAAAGUUGAGUAUGCGGCAGAAGCUACAAAACUGCGUCUGGAUCAAAGGUGAGGAGUUCUCCAAGUGCUAGAACGAGAAGUGGCAGCUGGCGGAUAAUUUAGCACUGGCAGAAGAUGAAUUUUUGGAAUAUGUCAUUGACGGCAUACACGAUGUCAAUCUACGCAAUCUGGCUAAGUCGCUUUCGUCCAAGACCGGAUUGAAGCUUUUGGAGGCAUUCCGAAACGUUGAGUUGGGCUACGUUCCUAAGCCCAAGUUACCAUAAGACCGGCGAGCAGGAGAUUAUCAGAAUCAGAGUGCCGCAAGCCUAAGAGAGACAAGAUGGUGCCUGUUCCGCAUGUGGCUAAGGAGUGUAAUAAUAUGCUGAACCCCAUUUUCAUAUAAUGUCAGCACGAUAAGUAUUAUUAAAAAACGUUUUAUACCAAAUCAAAUAAAAAUGGAAAAUACACCUCUUUAAGUUACGUUGGAUUAAAUUUAAGUAAAUUAAAAAUACAUGAAAGUGUAAAAUGUUCAGUUAAGUUCUCAAAUAAAGAUACUCCUAUGUUACUAUAUGUCGU
Drosophila melanogaster (fruit fly) is the source of this 3704-nucleotide non-coding RNA. The record is from Ensembl. NCBI's taxonomy places the organism in Eukaryota, Metazoa, Arthropoda, Insecta, Diptera, Drosophilidae.